CUCCUUUGACUACAAUAGUCAUGGUCCCUAAACUCCCACUAUCUCUCUUGAAACUUAUUUCAAUUGUGUUGUACACAUCAAACAUUUUGGAGAGCGUGUGGUUAUUGUUCACUAUAUAGUUUACAAUAAACUUAGUGAACCAUUAGGAUAGGGACAUAAAGGUGAAGUCCUUGCCUAGUUUCCGUCUCGUUAAGUGGUUUAUCACUUCAACACUCAAUGAUUCAAAAUCAUCCAUAAGUCCAUGUUAAUGGACUAUUUUUGUCAACCAACCAUUAUGUUCGAAACAUAAUUACAAACCUUCAAGAGUUGUACAAGGCAACUCUCAUUUCUUCAUACAACAAUUUGUAAGUGAAGAAUCAUGGCACAUUAAAGUGUCCAUGCCUUUGUGCUUUCUUCUCAAGUUCUUUGUUCAUUUAACAAAGAAACAAGCACUAAGUGUUUGCAUUGACUAAGGGUUGUUCAAAACAA
Molecule: long non-coding RNA, 468 nt
Filed under: Malus domestica (apple)
Lineage: Eukaryota; Viridiplantae; Streptophyta; Magnoliopsida; Rosales; Rosaceae
Description: long non-coding RNA (MDOM_LNC021107)
Source: RNAcentral